GACGAACGCUGGCGGCGUGCUUAACACAUGCAAGUCGAACGGAAAGGCCCUGCUUUUGUGGGGUGCUCGAGUGGCGAACGGGUGAGUAACACGUGAGUAACCUGUCCUUGACUUUGGGAUAACUUCAGGAAACUGGGGCUAAUACCGGAUAGGAGCUCCUGCUGCAUGGUGGGGGUUGGAAAGUUUCGGCGGUUGGGGAUGGACUCGCGGCUUAUCAGCUUGUUGGUGGGGUAGUGGCUUACCAAGGCUUUGACGGGUAGCCGACCUGAGAGGGUGACCGGCCACAUUGGGACUGAGAUACGACCCAGACUCCUACGGGAGGCAGCAGUGGAGAAUAUUGCACAAUGGGCGGAAGCCUGGUGCAGCAACGCCGCGUGCGGGAUGACGGCCUUCGGGUUGUAAACCGCUUUCGCCUGUGACGAAGCGUGAGUGACGGUAAUGGGUAAAGAAGCACCGGCUAACUACGUG
RNAcentral lists this ribosomal RNA (468 nucleotides) under uncultured bacterium. Its description in RNAcentral is "partial 16S ribosomal RNA". It matches the Rfam family "Bacterial small subunit ribosomal RNA", at positions 28 to 507 of the family's 1533-position model. The record is from RNAcentral.